Long non-coding RNA from Neodiprion fabricii, 426 nucleotides. RefSeq lists it as uncharacterized. The record is from RefSeq and is a predicted model, not a curated record. The transcript has 2 exons. NCBI's taxonomy places the organism in Eukaryota, Metazoa, Arthropoda, Insecta, Hymenoptera, Diprionidae.
ACCGUAAUAAAAAUACGGCGCUGACUUCUAUAGACGAAAAUUUACUGUCAAUCUAACACCAUCCUAUGUCGAUCUGACGCUGUCCGAUGUUGAAUUACCAAAUUGACCGUAAAAAUUUCUCUAUAGUAGUCCACAUCGGCCCAUUUUAGUCAAUUUCAACGUCACCAUUUUUGCAGUGUGGUAUAAACGUGGCGGAUUGAAUAACAAAUGUUUGACGAAAUUAUAUGUAUACCUAUCGUCAUUAAGUAACUACAGUCUACGGAAGGAUGCCAGCUUUAACAUGGAAGUUGGCGUAUCAGAAAAAUUGAAUCGCGAAGAUAGAAAACCCAGCGCUGCCGAUGAAACACUUAUCAACGUAUGCCUUUACCUGCGAUCGUUAUCAAAUUGCUAAGAAUACCAACUCGCAUUUCGGCUAGUUUGCUCUCC